Molecule: ribosomal RNA, 493 nt
Filed under: uncultured bacterium
Lineage: Bacteria
Description: partial 16S ribosomal RNA
Rfam family: Bacterial small subunit ribosomal RNA
Source: RNAcentral
GACGAACGCUGGCGGCGUGCUUAACACAUGCAAGUCGAACGGAAAGGCCUGCUUUCCCUUGUGGAUUGCGGGUACUCGAGUGGCGAACGGGUGAGUAACACGUGAGUGAUCUGCCCCCAACUUGGGUAUAAGCCUGGGAAACUGGGUCUAAUUCCCGAUAGGACUGCAGGGUGGUGCCUGUGGUGGAAAACGAUUUUCUAGUGGUUGGGGAUGAGCUCGCGGCCUAUCAGCUUGUUGGGGGGUAAUGGCCUACCAAGGCGGCGACCGGUAGCCGGCCUGGGAGGGUGGACGGCCACAUUGGGACUGAGAUACGGCCCAGACUCCUACGGGAGGCAGCAGUGGGGAAUAUUGCACAAUGGGCGGAAGCCUGAUGCAGCGACGCCGCGUGGGGGAUGACGGCCUUCGGGUUGUAAACUCCUUUCGACCGCGAGGAAGCCACCUGGUUGGAAGGGUGGUGACGGUAGUGGUAGAAGAAGCACCGGCUAACUACGUG